This 69-nucleotide transfer RNA is filed under the name Oscaecilia ochrocephala. RNAcentral describes it as "tRNA-Gly". The record is from RNAcentral. Lineage: Eukaryota; Metazoa; Chordata; Amphibia; Gymnophiona; Caeciliidae.
GCCCCCUUAGUAUAACAAAUACCAAUGACUUCCAAUCAUUCAAUCUUAAUUUAUCUUUGAGAGAGGGCA